Phycodurus eques (leafy seadragon) is the source of this 1183-nucleotide non-coding RNA. The record is from the annotation of a RefSeq genome assembly. NCBI's taxonomy places the organism in Eukaryota, Metazoa, Chordata, Actinopteri, Syngnathiformes, Syngnathidae.
CAGUAGUGUGAAUAAGUGUUCGCUCCCUUCCCGAGUUCUUAUUUUUUUGCAUGUUUGUCACGCUUGUUGUUGAUGUUUCCCAUCAUCAAACACAUUUAAAUAUUCGUCAAAGUCAACACAAGUAAACCCAAAAUGCAGUUUUAAAUUAACGUUUUUAUUAUUAAGGGAGAAAAAAUAAGACUGCCACACCUGUUCUCAAUGAAGAAAUCACUUGAAAAGGAACUGCCUGACAAAGUGAAGUAGACCAAAAGGUCCUGGAACAGAUGGGAAGAACUGCAUUUAGAUAGUCCAUCUCCCUGUCUAACAGAGAAGUAGUGCUUUGCCCGCAUCUUGUGGCAUCUAGAGACAAUUAAACCUUUUUUUGGAGGGGGGGUCCAAAAAAGAGGAAGUGGUGACCUUUCACAAAGACAGGUGCACUCGCUUAUUUGCAUGAGUUUCUGCGCUUCGCUGCUCCGCCAAUUCUUCAUAAGUCUGCACAACUCUUGUCACACAAACUCCACUUGCAACCCGAGUCAGGAUGUGGUCACCCGCACUGUUGCUCGUCCUGCUGAUCAAAGGAUCUUCUGCCGCUGAGUUUCUGAGGCAGACGGACAGAAUGAAGUCCGUCUCUCUUGGAGGGACGUUGACCAUUGGCGCCACAGGGAGUUCAGACAUUGGUAGCGAUCUCAGUUGGUACCAAGUGAAACCUGGGCAGGCUCCCAAACUGCUCAUCUACCAUGUAUCCACUCGCUUCUCUGGCACGCCAUCUCGAUUCAGCGGCACACAAUCUGGCUCUGACUACACUCUGACCAUCAGUGGUGUCCAGGCAGAAGACGUGGCUGAUUACUACUGUCUCGGCUAUCACGGCAGUGGAAGGUACACACGGUGAUUCAGAGCCGUACAAAAACCUCUUUCGACUUUGAGCGAAGUGAAAGCGGCCUGCAGAAUGUGGCAAGGGGAAAGCAGAAGACACACUGAAUGAUGAGCAUGACUGGUCGUCAAGCUAAUGAAUCACUCAAGCUGACUGACAACAUUAUAUUUAUAUUAUUAUUUCUAUUUUCAAUAUUUGUAUUUUUGUAUAUGAAUGAGUGGUUAUUAUUUAUUUUUCUCAGGGACAAAAUAUGUUUCUUUAUUUAUUUAUUUUACUUGAAUUAUGUAUUAAUUUUAUUUAACCAACAUAAUAAACUACAUUUAUGUGUCACAA